Molecule: small nucleolar RNA, 71 nt
Organism: Triplophysa rosa
Lineage: Eukaryota; Metazoa; Chordata; Actinopteri; Cypriniformes; Nemacheilidae
Source: RefSeq, a predicted model, not a curated record
AGUAGGUGUGAUGACUGAUAUAUCGCCCCAGUCUGAGUUUUAUCUGACUGAUUGAUACUCUCUGAUCUCCA